RNAcentral lists this ribosomal RNA (393 nucleotides) under uncultured bacterium. RNAcentral's name for it is "partial 16S ribosomal RNA". It matches the Rfam family "Bacterial small subunit ribosomal RNA", at positions 523 to 918 of the family's 1533-position model. The record is from RNAcentral.
AUACGGAGGAUCCGAGCGUUAUCCGGAUUUAUUGGGUUUAAAGGGUGCGUAGGCGGCCUUUUAAGUCAGCGGUGAAAGUCUGUGGCUCAACCAUAGAAUUGCCGUUGAAACUGGGGGGCUUGAGUAUGUUUGAGGCAGGCGGAAUGCGUGGUGUAGCGGUGAAAUGCUUAGAUAUCACGCAGAACCCCGAUUGCGAAGGCGGCCUGCAAAGCCAUGACUGACGCUGAUGCACGAAAGCGUGGGGAUCAAACAGGAUUAGAUACCCUGGUAGUCCACGCAGUAAACGAUGAUCACUAGCUGUUUGCGAUACAGUAUAAGCGGCACAGCGAAAGCGUUAAGUGAUCCACCUGGGGAGUACGCCGGCAACGGUGAAACUUAAAGGAAUUGACGGGG